UACGUAGGGGGCAAGCGUUGUCCGGAUUUAUUGGGCGUAAAGAGCGUGUAGGCGGCCUUACAGGUCAGCUGUGAAAACUCGAGGCUCAACCUCGAGACGUCGGUUGAAACCGUAUGGCUAGAGUCCGGAAGAGGAGAGUGGAAUUCCCGGUGUAGCGGUGAAAUGCGCAGAUAUCGGGAAGAACACCCGUGGCGAAGGCGGCUCUCUGGGACGGUACUGACGCUGAGACGCGAAAGCGUGGGGAGCAAACAGG
This 253-nucleotide ribosomal RNA is filed under the name uncultured bacterium. RNAcentral's name for it is "partial 16S ribosomal RNA". It matches the Rfam family "Bacterial small subunit ribosomal RNA", at positions 524 to 776 of the family's 1533-position model. The record is from RNAcentral.